GGCGGCGUGCUUAACACAUGCAAGUCGAACGGAAAGGCCCUUCGGGGUACUCGAGUGGCGAACGGGUGAGUAACACGUGGGUGAUCUGCCCUGCACUUUGGGAUAAGCCUGGGAAACUGGGUCAAAUACCGAAUAGGACCACGCGCUUCAUGGUGUGUGGUGGAAAGCUUUUGCGGUGUGGGAUGGGCCCGCGGCCUAUCAGCUUGUUGGUGGGGUAAUGGCCUACCAAGGCGACGACGGGUAGCCGGCCUGAGAGGGUGACCGGCCACACUGGGACUGAGAUACGGCCCAGACUCCUACGGGAGGCAGCAGUGGGGAAUAUUGCACAAUGGGCGCAAGCCUGAUGCAGCGACCCCGCGUGAGGGAUGACUCCUUCGGGUUGUAAACCUCUUUCACCAGGGACGAAGCGCAAGUGACGGUACCUGGAGAAGAAGCACCGGCCAACUACGUGCCAGCAGCCGCGGUAAUACGUAGGGUGCGAGCGUUGUCCGGAAUUACUGGGCGUAAAGAGCUCGUAGU
This 519-nucleotide ribosomal RNA is filed under the name Mycobacterium sp. RNAcentral's name for it is "bacterial SSU rRNA". It matches the Rfam family "Bacterial small subunit ribosomal RNA", at positions 38 to 575 of the family's 1533-position model. Lineage: Bacteria; Bacillati; Actinomycetota; Actinomycetes; Mycobacteriales; Mycobacteriaceae. The record is from RNAcentral.